This 347-nucleotide ribosomal RNA is filed under the name Escherichia coli. RNAcentral describes it as "bacterial SSU rRNA". It matches the Rfam family "Bacterial small subunit ribosomal RNA", at positions 1180 to 1526 of the family's 1533-position model. The record is from RNAcentral. Lineage: Bacteria; Pseudomonadati; Pseudomonadota; Gammaproteobacteria; Enterobacterales; Enterobacteriaceae.
UGACGUCAAGUCAUCAUGGCCCUUACGACCAGGGCUACACACGUGCUACAAUGGCGCAUACAAAGAGAAGCGACCUCGCGAGAGCAAGCGGACCUCAUAAAGUGCGUCGUAGUCCGGAUUGGAGUCUGCAACUCGACUCCAUGAAGUCGGAAUCGCUAGUAAUCGUGGAUCAGAAUGCCACGGUGAAUACGUUCCCGGGCCUUGUACACACCGCCCGUCACACCAUGGGAGUGGGUUGCAAAAGAAGUAGGUAGCUUAACCUUCGGGAGGGCGCUUACCACUUUGUGAUUCAUGACUGGGGUGAAGUCGUAACAAGGUAACCGUAGGGGAACCUGCGGUUGGAUCAC